This 253-nucleotide ribosomal RNA is filed under the name uncultured archaeon. RNAcentral's name for it is "partial 16S ribosomal RNA". It matches the Rfam family "Archaeal small subunit ribosomal RNA", at positions 474 to 727 of the family's 1478-position model. The record is from RNAcentral.
AACCAGCACCUCAAAUAAUCAAAAAAAUUAUUGGGCCUAAAACAUCCGUAGCCGGCUCUGUAAGUUUUCGGUUAAAUCUAUAUGCUCAACGUAUAGGCUGCCGAAAAUACUGCACAGCUAGGGAAUGGGAGAGGUAGACGGUACCCGGUAGGAAGGGGCAAAAUCCUUUGAUCUAUCGAUGACCACCUGUGGCGAAGGCGGUCUACCAGAACAUGUUCGACGGUGAGGGAUGAAAGCUGGGGGAGCAAACCGG